AUCAGCCAGCUGAAGAUCCCCCAUUUUGCCGCCAUCUCCGCCGUAUAUUUCUGCUCCUGCUUCGCGGAUCCUGUGCCCAGCGAGAUCACCAGCAAUUUGUCGAAGUUGAGAGGCUGAACUGGGAAGAAAUCAGGGUAGCUUCUCGCCGUUUCUUUCAUGACUUCUCUUAUCGCCACCAUUGUCUGAGAAAAUUAAAUAUUUUCCAGUUUCAGACAAUUUUGGAGCGUUGAAGACUGAAGCAAUUUUAAAAUUGGGAUAUAUAUAUAUAUACCGGGUUGUUAGCAGCUACGCCGCCGUCGAUGAGAUUGAAAUCCCAGGGCUGGCCGGAGUCGUCGGCGUUCGUGAAAUGAUGCGCCG
RNAcentral lists this long non-coding RNA (357 nucleotides) under Salvia miltiorrhiza (redroot sage). Its description in RNAcentral is "long non-coding RNA (SMIL_LNC007131)". The record is from RNAcentral. Lineage: Eukaryota; Viridiplantae; Streptophyta; Magnoliopsida; Lamiales; Lamiaceae.